AUACUAACCUGGCAGGGGAGAUACUAUGAUCACGAAGGUGGUUUUCCUAAGGUGAGGAUUAUCCAUUGUACUCUGGAUGUGCUGACCCCUGCGAUUUUCCCAAAUGUGGGAAACUCAAUUGCAUAACUUGUGGUAGCAGGGAAUUGUGUUUGCGCUUCCCCCCU
This is a small nuclear RNA of Mustela putorius furo (domestic ferret), 164 nucleotides long. Its record names the gene U1. It matches the Rfam family "U1 spliceosomal RNA". From Rfam's summary of the family: U1 is a small nuclear RNA (snRNA) component of the spliceosome (involved in pre-mRNA splicing). NCBI's taxonomy places the organism in Eukaryota, Metazoa, Chordata, Mammalia, Carnivora, Mustelidae. The record is from Ensembl.